CCUACGGGUGGCUGCAGUGGGGAAUAUUGGACAAUGGGGGCAACCCUGAUCCAGCCAUGCCGCGUGUGUGAAGAAGGCCCUCGGGUUGUAAAGCACUUUCAGUGAGGAAGAACGCCUGGUGGUUAAUACCCAUCAGGAAAGACAUCACUCACAGAAGAAGCACCGGCUAACUCCGUGCCAGCAGCCGCGGUAAUACGGAGGGUGCGAGCGUUAAUCGGAAUUACUGGGCGUAAAGCGCGCGUAGGUGGCUUGAUAAGCCGGUUGUGAAAGCCCCGGGCUCAACCUGGGAACGGCAUCCGGAACUAUCAAGCUAGAGUGCAGGAGAGGAAGGUAGAAUUCCCGGUGUAGCGGUGAAAUGCGUAGAGAUCGGGAGGAAUACCAGUGGCGAAGGCGGCCUUAUGGACUGACACUGACACUGAGGUGCGAAAGCGUGGGUAGCAAACAGGAUUAGAUACCCCAGUAGUC
This 465-nucleotide ribosomal RNA is filed under the name Vreelandella stevensii. Its description in RNAcentral is "partial 16S ribosomal RNA". It matches the Rfam family "Bacterial small subunit ribosomal RNA", at positions 338 to 795 of the family's 1533-position model. The record is from RNAcentral. Lineage: Bacteria; Pseudomonadati; Pseudomonadota; Gammaproteobacteria; Oceanospirillales; Halomonadaceae.